CCAUGUAGAUAUCAUUAGUGCUGUGCCACGCUGACACUCGGUCAGUACCAUGUAGAUAUCAGUGCACAGUUAGUGCUGCACCACACUGACGCUUGGUCAGUACCAUGUAGAUAUCAUUAGUGCUGUGCCACGCUGACACUCGGUCAGUACCGUGUAGAUAUCAGUGCACGGUUAGUGCUGCGUCACACCGACGCUCGGUCAGUACCAUGUAGAUAUCAGUGCAGUUAGUGCUGUGCGACGCUGACGCUCAGUCAGUACCACGUAGAUAUCAGUGCACGGUUAGUGCUGUGCCACGCUGACACUUGGUCAGUACCGUGUAGAUAUCAGUGCACGGUUAGUGCUGCGCCACCCUGACACUCGGUCAGUACCUUGUAGAUAUCAGUGCACAGUUAGUGCUGUGCCACGCCGACGCUCGGUCAGUACCAUGUAGAUAUCAUUAGUGCUGUGCCACGCUGACACUCGGUCAGUACCAUGUAGAUAUCAGUGCACAGUUAGUGCUGCACCACACUGACGCUUGGUCAGUACCAUGUAGAUAUCAUUAGUGCUGUGCCACGCUGACACUCGGUCAGUACCGUGUAGAUAUCAGUGCACGGUUAGUGCUGCCUCACGCCGAUGCUCGGUCAGUACCAUGUAGAUAUCAUUAGUGCUGCACCACGCCGACACUCGGUCAGUACCGUGUAGAUAUCAGUGCACGGUUAGUGCUGCGCCACGCUGACACUCGGUCAGUACCAUGUAGAUAUCAGUGCACGGUUAGUGCUGUGCCAUGCUGACACUCAGUCAGUACCGUGUAGAUAUCAGUGCACGGUUAGUGCUGCAUCACGCCGACACUCAGUCGGUACCGUGUACAUAUCAGUGCAUGGUUAGUGCUGUGCCAUGCUGACGCUCGGUCAGUACUGUGUAGAUAUCAGUGCACGGUUAGUGCUGCACCACGCUGACGCUUGGUCAGUACUGUGUAGACAUCAGUGCACGGUUAGUACUGCACCACCCUGACGCUCAGUCAGUACUGUGUAGAUAUCAGUGCACGGUUAGUGCUGUGCCACAGUGACAGUCAGUAUCGUGUAGAUAUCAGUGCACAGUUAGUGCUGCGCUACGCCGACACUUGGUCAGUACUGUGCUGAUGUUGGUGCACAGAUCAGUGCUGUGCCACACCAACGCUUAGUCAGUACCUUGCACAGGUUAGUGCUGUGCCACACCAAUGCUUGGUCAGUACCGUGUUGAUUUUGGUGCACUUGUUGGUGCUGUGCCACCCUGAUGCUUGGUCAGUCCCAUGCCGAUGUCAG
This 1280-nucleotide long non-coding RNA is filed under the name Homo sapiens (human). RNAcentral's name for it is "HSALNT0387752". Lineage: Eukaryota; Metazoa; Chordata; Mammalia; Primates; Hominidae. The record is from RNAcentral.